This 253-nucleotide ribosomal RNA is filed under the name uncultured Bacteroidales bacterium. Its description in RNAcentral is "partial 16S ribosomal RNA". It matches the Rfam family "Bacterial small subunit ribosomal RNA", at positions 524 to 776 of the family's 1533-position model. The record is from RNAcentral. Lineage: Bacteria; Pseudomonadati; Bacteroidota; Bacteroidia; Bacteroidales.
UACGGAGGAUGCGAGCGUUAUCCGGAUUUAUUGGGUUUAAAGGGUGCGUAGGCGGCCUGUUAAGUCAGCGGUGAAAUUCAGGGGCUCAACCUCUGCCGUGCCGUUGAUACUGGCAAGCUGGAAUGCGGAUGCCGUGGGAGGAAUGUGUGGUGUAGCGGUGAAAUGCAUAGAUAUCACACAGAACACCGAUUGCGAAGGCAUCUCACGAAUCCGCAAUUGACGCUGAUGCACGAAAGCGUGGGGAUCAAACAGG